Molecule: ribosomal RNA, 492 nt
Filed under: uncultured bacterium
Lineage: Bacteria
Description: partial 16S ribosomal RNA
Rfam family: Bacterial small subunit ribosomal RNA
Source: RNAcentral
AGUGAACGCUGGCGGUAGGCCUAACACAUGCAAGUCGAACGGCAGCACAGUAAGAGCUUGCUCUUACGGGUGGCGAGUGGCGGACGGGCGAGGAAUACAUCGGAAUCUACUUUUUCGUGGGGGAUAACGUAGGGAAACUUACGCUAAUACCGCAUACGACCUACGGGUGAAAGCAGGGGAUCUUCGGACCUUGCGCGAUUGAAUGAGCCGAUGUCGGAUUAGCUAGUUGGCGGGGUAAAGGCCCACCAAGGCGACGAUCCGUCGCUGGUCUGAGAGGAUGAUCGGCCACGCUGGAACUGAGACACGGUCCAGACUCCUACGGGAGGCAGCAGUGGGGAAUAUUGGACAAUGGGCGCAAGCCUGAUCCAGCCAUACCGAGUGGGUGAAGAAGGCCUUCGGGUUGUAAAGCCCUUUUGUUGGGAAAGAAAAGCAGCAGGUUAAUACCACGCUGUUCUGACGGUACCCAAAGAAUAAGCACCGGCUAACUUCGUG